RNAcentral lists this ribosomal RNA (440 nucleotides) under uncultured bacterium. RNAcentral describes it as "partial 16S ribosomal RNA". It matches the Rfam family "Bacterial small subunit ribosomal RNA", at positions 338 to 795 of the family's 1533-position model. The record is from RNAcentral.
CCUACGAGAGGCAGCAGUGGGGAAUAUUGCACAAUGGGGGAAACCCUGAUGCAGCGACGCCGCGUGAGUGAAGAAGUAAUUCGUUACGUUAAGCUCUAUCAGCCGGGAAGAAAAUGCCGGUACCUGUGUAAGAAGCCCCGGCUAACUACGUGCCAGCAGCCGCGGUCAUACGGAGGGGGCCAGCGUUAUCCGGAUUUACUGGGUGUAAAGGGAGCGUAGACGGUGCGCCAAGUCUGGAGUGAAAUGCCGCAGCUUAACUGCGGAACUGCUUUGGAAACUGGCGAACUAGAGUGCGGGAGGGGUAAGCGGAAUUCCUAGUGUAGCGGUGAAAUGCGUAGAUAUUAGGAGGAACACCGGUGGCGAAGGCGGCUUACUGGACCGUAACUGACGUUGAGGCACGAAAGCGUGGGGAGCGAACAGGAUUAGAUACCCUUGUAGUC